This 975-nucleotide ribosomal RNA is filed under the name Staphylococcus aureus. Its description in RNAcentral is "partial 23S ribosomal RNA". It matches the Rfam family "Bacterial large subunit ribosomal RNA", at positions 372 to 1353 of the family's 2925-position model. The record is from RNAcentral. Lineage: Bacteria; Bacillati; Bacillota; Bacilli; Caryophanales; Staphylococcaceae.
CCUGUAGUCGAAAGUUUAUUCUCUCUUGAGUGGAUCCUGAGUACGACGGAGCACGUGAAAUUCCGUCGGAAUCUGGGAGGACCAUCUCCUAAGGCUAAAUACUCUCUAGUGACCGAUAGUGAACCAGUACCGUGAGGGAAAGGUGAAAAGUACCCCGGAAGGGGAGUGAAAUAGAACUUGAAACCCGUGUGCUUACAAGUAGUCAGAGCCCGUUAAUGGGUGAUGGCGUGCCUUUUGUAGAAUGAACCGGCGAGUUACGAUUUGAUGCAAGGUUAAGCAGUGAAUGUGGAGCCGUAGCGAAAGCGAGUCUGAAUAGGGCGUUGAGUAUUUGGUCGUAGACCCGAAACCAGGUGAUCUACCCAUGACCAGGCUGAAGUUCAGGUAACACUGAAUGGAGGGCCGAACCGACUUACGUUGAAAAGUGAGCGGAUGAGUUGUGGGUAGCGGAGAAAUUCCAAUCGAACCUGGAGAUAGCUGGUUCUCUCCGAAAUAGCUUUAGGGCUAGCCUCAAGUGAUGAUUAUUGGAGGUAGAGCACUGUUUGGACGAGGGGCCCUUCUCGGGUUACCGAAUUCAGACAAACUCCGAAUGCCAAUCAAUUUAACUUGGGAGUCAGAACGCGGGUGAUAAGGUCCGUGUUCGAAAGGGAAACAGCCCAGACCACCAGCUAAGGUCCCAAAAUAUAUGUUAAGUGGAAAAGGAUGUGGCGUUGCCCAGACAACUAGGAUGUUGGCUUAGAAGCAGCCAUCAUUUAAAGAGUGCGUAAUAGCUCACUAGUCGAGUGACACUGCGCCGAAAAUGUACCCGGGGCUAAACAUAUUACCGAAGCUGUGGAUUGUCCGUAGGACAAUGGUAGGAGAGCGUUCUAAGGGCGUUGAAGCAUGAUCGCAAGGACAUGUGGAGCGCUUAGAAGUGAGAAUGCCGGUGUGAGUAGCGAAAGACGGGUGAGAAUCCCGUCCACCGAUUGACUAAGGUUU